This is a long non-coding RNA of Passer domesticus (house sparrow), 3819 nucleotides long. RefSeq lists it as uncharacterized. The transcript has 2 exons. The record is from RefSeq and is a predicted model, not a curated record. NCBI's taxonomy places the organism in Eukaryota, Metazoa, Chordata, Aves, Passeriformes, Passeridae.
GAUUAACCUGAUGCACAUUUAUUGAGAGGAAAGCAAUAUUAAGGGUAGAUAAUGAAGUUAAUUAAUGAGGGGAGAAAACACAGGGAAGCCAAGUCAACAGGAUCCAUGCACUGAGUAAGUGCUGCUGUUUCUCCUUCCCCCUUCAUUUGGGGAAAAGCAGCAGAGAAUCUGGAACAAGGACACUAAGAGAAGGUGUGGGACUAAAGCUCUGAGGAGAAGCAGGAUUUUAGAGAGCAUUACACAAUAAUGAAAAGUUUAAUCAAGCUGCUUAGUGCUUGCACUACCCAAACCUGCUGAUGUGCCCUGCCGUGGUCUGGGUGGUACAUACUCCAGAAGGAAUUGCUCCAUGAACACAUUUGGAGUGGUCUCCAAGCUCAGAUCUAUUUGUAACCUACACCUUGGGCAAGGCUGUCCUUAAUCCUCAGGAAACCACAGAAUAAAAUGUUGGCUUUAGGCACACUGGGGACACAGCAACAUGAGCCAUUUGUGUUUCAGAGCGCUUCCUUUUGCUUUAGAGUUUGAAAUGCCACAGGAAACACCAAAACAACCAUUUACUGUCACAGGAAACUUCAAUUUUUCUACCUUGAACUUGUCUAGCUUCCAUUUAGCUUUCUAAUCUAAUUAUUACAAGAUCCAGAGUGCUUCAUUAUGAAGCUACCAAAGUUGGUGAGCAAGCUGCUUCUCAACCUGCUCUCUCUGCUGAAUUAAUUGGAAUGAGUUUCUUAAUCCACCUUGCCUACUGGCACGUGUUUCAGGCUUUAAAUCAUUCUCACAGGUCUUUCGUAAUCCUACUGCAGUUUGUCAAUAUUUCAUUUUUUGGUGGGAUGCAGACACUGGAGCAGGACAAGAGCAGCCUGUUUAACUGCAAACUGAGCACUGUGUGUCUUUUAAGGGAGUUUGCUUUCUCCUAGAUUUACCUAGAGCUCCCUUCAAACAGAGUGAAUUCAUUAUGUGAUGGACAGUUCAGAUCUUUUCCCUCUUCUUUAUUAUCUUGCUUUAGCUGUUUAAAACAAGCCUCCAUUAAGAGAAGCAGAUCAGGAGAUUGAACUCAGUUACAGAGAUGACUGUUUAGCUGGGCUAGCAGCAAUAUUAAAAACAAAAAAAGCAGAAAAUUUAACUUGAAACAAAUGGGAGAGAAAAAAAAUAAACAUGGAACAACCCUUGAACAAAUACUAAAGACAUAAUAAAUUGCUUUCAAGAGUGGGUUACAACUACUUGUACCUCAGUCCCUGCCACUCAGCCUGCCCUGGCCAGGGCUCCAGCACACCCCAUCUGUCUGUGGAGCCCACAGGGAGUGUCCCUGCUCUGGCAGCCAUCACCAGCCUCAGGGGUGACCGAGCACUUGGCCUUUGGCUCCACUCAGCACAUGAACCUGGGACUGUUUCUGCUCCCAGGUCCACACCUCUGCUUAACAGCUUUUUUAUUCUUCCCACGGGCUAUUCCAGACCUGCAGCCUGAGCCUUUGCUGGCAGGGUGUGCAAUGCUCCCAGCCAUGCUGGCCACUGCCCUCUCCCCUCUGCAUUCCUCCUGCCUUGUUAUUGCAGACAGUCUGGCCUGCAGUGAUGCUGAUUCCCUUCUCACCACUGCUCUCCUGCUCGGCUUUGCUGAUGUACCAUUGCUCUGGACACAGCUGCACCUUCUGAAAGCCCUUUGGUUGAACUACCUCAAGGAUUCUUUCUCCAAAUGCUGUGAGGACAUUUCAGUUGGAGAUUCCUCACUGGAAGAGCCUCAGCAGCUCUUGGAGAAGGACCGCACACAGGAUUCCCUGCCCAGGAAUCUGCCCCUUGAAAUCCUCUCCUGCUCAUCCCCUCCCUGGCUCCUUGACAGAGGCUCACAGAGAGGAGGGAGGAUGCCCCACCCUGGUUGGGUGUCUGGCCUGAGGGUGAGAGCUUCCAACAGAAACAUCCCUGGGUUCAGCAUCCCCAGCCAUUCCCUGAAAUUUAGAUUUCCAUGGGGUUUUCUCCUGGGAGCUCUGCCCAGUUCUUCCAGUCUGGAGCAGGAGCUGCCUUGUCUCUAGACAGCUGGAAAACCAAGCUUAACAAUAUCUUACUUUUCCACUGAUAAGGAAUAUGUGCCUGGCUUGGCUGCUCUGAACCAUUCUGCUCCAGCUGGGUUGCUGCAGGAUGGGUGUUUUGAGCCUGCAAUGUCCACUCAAAGUAGGUGGUUGCAUGAUGGUCCCUUGAGAUGCUCAAAGCAUGUCCUGAACUAAAUUCUGCACCAAUUCUGUAGUGGUCAGUGAGUGGCAAUUAGGUUAAAUAUGUUAUGCUCCUAAAUAUGUAGGCACUGUUAUGUGCUACUGUUAUGUUCUAUUAAAUAUCCUUCUCAUUCUGAGCUCUGGAGAGUUUCAAACAUGUAUUUCCUCACAAUAUACCCCAGUUAUUUCUGCCUUAGGUGAAUUACAAUGAGGAAAACCAGAAAAACUUGUGUAUGUUAAAGCUGGCUGCAGUGUGAAAGUAUUUACCUGCUAAAAUCCUCUUCAAAUAGCACUAAAAUGACAGGGCAGAGGGUAUGAAAACAACUGCCUUUACUCUUUUAUCUGAACACUUUGUGAUGAUUACAGGGCACUCCACACAAAGGGCUGUGAUUUAGAAAGGAAAUUGCACUCCAGUGAAGGAUUUACUCAUCUGUGAUGAUAUUUAUAAUCCACUCUCUCCUAGCUAAAGGGAUCAUCCUGCACUUUGGUAGGAAAUGUGAAGAAUUAAGGGGCCAGGGAAUGAGACCUGCAUACAGGAUGCUUUGAGGUGCUGACCACCUCCCAGCUCUGCCUUUGCUCUCUGACUCCAGUGAAGCUUUGCCUCUCUCACUGCUGCUGUUUUCUCCUCUGGAGCAAUGAUGCUGCUCUGCUGAGAUCUGUCUCCAAGGCAGCUGUGGUCUGCAGCCCCAAAGCAAAAGCCAAAGCCCACAGAUACCUCACAGGAACCAGAGGGAUGGGCAGAGGGGACAUCCAAGUCCUGCCACCCUUCCUGGUCUGUAAAAGCUCUGUGUGGAGAGGAUGAGAAACACACCUGCUGCUUCUAAGGCAGUUCCAUGUCCUUGUAGAUGUGUGGAGCUAAAACAACUUCAGGGGUCUCUGAGAUCAGCCUCUCCAAUCCUACGAGCCCAAUCCAAGUCUGUCAGCAUUCCCAAGGCAGGCACUGAGUGAGCCACACUGUCCAAAACCACGUGCUUGUGGCUCCAGCUCACGCUGCUGAGACUGUGGUUUCAUUUAGUGGGAAAUGCAUUUUGUUUCUCCCGGUGAAAUAUUUUACCCAUUUGAAGGUUUCUACGUGGUGUUCUCUGAUCAAAGCCCUGAGAGCCCUUUGUGCAGCACCUCCAUGGAGUGAGAGGAGGGAUGUCCAUUUCCAAGGCUGUUUUCCGGUAGCCAAGAUAUGUUGCCCACCCUCAGCCAAGCAGCAGUGUAUUUUCACUGGGAGAAUGCCAGCAGGCAACCCAGAUUUAAAAAAAAAAGAAUUUUUCCAAACAUUUCUCCAACAGCUGUAAAUUUUUUCUUAAUGCAAGAUGCUAAUAAAAGCCAGGUUACACCAAACCCACUGCCAGACUAGUGCUACUGGGAGGUGUUUUUAAGCUGCACCAAAGGAAAAAUUUCAACAUCCAACUUGCUCAUUACUUGAAGAAACAGAAGCAUAUCCCUGCCUUUACCCUGUCCUGUGGGAGUUAAGAUCAGAUGUGAAGGCCAUGUGCUGGACUUGGGAAUGUUUGUUCAAUCUCCUGUUCCUUCUCUGCUUUUUCCACUAUGAGUGCUUGCACUCCUGACAUUGCAUUUUGCUGAUCGUAACCACAAGGUUUUGUUUUAUGAGCUGUUAUACCAGGAAAAUGGUA